RNAcentral lists this ribosomal RNA (451 nucleotides) under uncultured organism. RNAcentral's name for it is "partial 16S ribosomal RNA". It matches the Rfam family "Bacterial small subunit ribosomal RNA", at positions 334 to 801 of the family's 1533-position model. The record is from RNAcentral.
CACUCCUACGGGAGGCAGCAGUGGGGAAUAUUGGACAAUGGGCGCAAGCCUGAUCCAGCCAUGCCGCGUGAGUGAUGAAGGCCCUAGGGUUGUAAAGCUCUUUCACCGGAGAAGAUAAUGACGGUAUCCGGAGAAGAAGCCCCGGCUAACUUCGUGCCAGCAGCCGCGGUAAUACGAAGGGGGCUAGCGUUGUUCGGAAUUACUGGGCGUAAAGCGCACGUAGGCGGAUCGAUCAGUCAGGGGUGAAAUCCCAGGGCUCAACCCUGGAACUGCCUUUGAUACUGUCGAUCUGGAGUAUGGAAGAGGUGAGUGGAAUUCCGAGUGUAGAGGUGAAAUUCGUAGAUAUUCGGAGGAACACCAGUGGCGAAGGCGGCUCACUGGUCCAUUACUGACGCUGAGGUGCGAAAGCGUGGGGAGCAAACAGGAUUAGAAACCCCGGUAGUCCCAUGAU